RNAcentral lists this small nucleolar RNA (145 nucleotides) under Peromyscus maniculatus bairdii (prairie deer mouse). The record is from RNAcentral. Lineage: Eukaryota; Metazoa; Chordata; Mammalia; Rodentia; Cricetidae.
AAUGUACACCAAGCAGUACAAAAGUGAAAGGCAAAACUUACAAGACUCCCAAGUGUAGGUAGUGUGCUAAACGAGCGGCAAGGUUUUCACUAACACCCCACUCUGUUCCAGUGAGUGGAGUUUGAUAGUAACCUUUGCUACAAGU